CCGAGAUGACUGACCUGAGUGUGGCACAGAAACCAGAAAAACUCCUGGAGCGCUGCAAGUACUGGCCUGCUUGUAAAAAUGGGGAUGAGUGUGUGUACCAUCACCCCAUUUCACCUUGCAAAGCCUUUCCCAACUGUAAAUUUGCUGAGAAAUGUUUGUUUGUGCAUCCAAAUUGUAAAUAUGACGCAAAGUGUACUAAAGCAGAUUGUCCCUUCACUCACAUGAGUAGAAGAGGUCCAGUACUGACUCCAAAACCAGUGUCGUCACCAGCGCCAUCUUCUAAUGGCCAGCUCUGCCGUUACUUCCCUGCCUGUAAGAAAAUGGAGUGUCCCUUCUACCACCCCAAACACUGUAGGUUUAAUACCCAGUGUACAAGACCAGACUGUACGUUUUAUCACCCCACUAUUACUGUGCCACCAAGACAUGCCUUGAAAUGGAUUCGACCUCAAACCAGUGAAUGAUGCCCUAGUCCUACCUGGCAGAAGAUCAUGCAGUUUGAAAGCUUCCGUCUUCUGAUGAGAGAUGUUCUACAGAACUUGUCACGUCUUUGAAAUUUAGAAUAUAUUGCUUUCAUAAUAUGAAUUUUACUGCCCAACUGAAGUGUCUAAUUUUUCAAAUUUGUAAGUUUAUUAAGUGGUUUCAACCUUUUUUGUUUGUUCGUUUUGACUAUGAAAAAGACAGUUUAAAGAAAAGCCAAUUCUAUUAAACACUGCGGCAUGUUUGU
Molecule: long non-coding RNA, 724 nt
Filed under: Rattus norvegicus (Norway rat)
Lineage: Eukaryota; Metazoa; Chordata; Mammalia; Rodentia; Muridae
Description: long non-coding RNA NONRATT024551
Source: RNAcentral